Molecule: ribosomal RNA, 253 nt
Filed under: uncultured bacterium
Lineage: Bacteria
Description: partial 16S ribosomal RNA
Rfam family: Bacterial small subunit ribosomal RNA
Source: RNAcentral
UACGUAGGGUGCGAGCGUUGUCCAGAAUUAUUGGGCGUAAAGAGCUCGUAGGCGGCUUGUCACGUCGGAUGUGAAAGCCCGGGGCUUAACUCCGGGUCUGCAUUCGAUACGGGCAGGCUAGAGUUCGGUAGGGGAGAUCGGAAUUCCUGGUGUAGCGGUGAAAUGCGCAGAUAUCAGGAGGAACACCGGUGGCGAAGGCGGUUCUCUGGGCAUUACCUGACGCUGAGGAGCGAAAGUGUGGGGAGCGAACAGG